GGCCUACGGGAGGCUGCAGUGGGGAAUAUUGGACAAUGGGGGCAACCCUGAUCCAGCCAUGCCGCGUGUGUGAAGAAGGCCUUCGGGUUGUAAAGCACUUUCAGUGGGGAGGAAGGCCUGUUGGUUAAUACCCAUCGGGAUUGACGUUACCCACAGAAGAAGCACCGGCAAACUCCGUGCCAGCAGCCGCGGUAAUACGGAGGGUGCGAGCGUUAAUCGGAAUUACUGGGCGUAAAGCGCACGUAGGCGGCCUGUUAAGCUGGAUGUGAAAGCCCCGGGCUCAACCUGGGAAUUGCACCCAGAACUGGCAGGCUAGAGUACGGUAGAGGUGAGUGGAAUUUCCUGUGUAGCGGUGAAAUGCGUAGAUAUAGGAAGGAACAUCAGUGGCGAAGGCGACUCACUGGACUGAUACUGACGCUGAGGUGCGAAAGCGUGGGGAGCAAACAGGAUUAGAUACCCGUGUAGUCGGU
This 470-nucleotide ribosomal RNA is filed under the name uncultured Alteromonadaceae bacterium. RNAcentral's name for it is "bacterial SSU rRNA". It matches the Rfam family "Bacterial small subunit ribosomal RNA", at positions 335 to 798 of the family's 1533-position model. Lineage: Bacteria; Pseudomonadati; Pseudomonadota; Gammaproteobacteria; Alteromonadales; Alteromonadaceae. The record is from RNAcentral.